Molecule: ribosomal RNA, 446 nt
Filed under: uncultured Ochrobactrum sp.
Lineage: Bacteria; Pseudomonadati; Pseudomonadota; Alphaproteobacteria; Hyphomicrobiales; Brucellaceae
Description: bacterial SSU rRNA
Rfam family: Bacterial small subunit ribosomal RNA
Source: RNAcentral
GUGGUUUUAAUUCGAAGCAACGCGCAGAACCUUACCACGCCCUUGACAUACCGGUCGCGGACACAGAGAUGUGUCUUUCAGUUCGGCUGGACCGGAUACAGGUGCUGCAUGGCUGUCGUCAGCUCGUGUCGUGAGAUGGUUGGGUUAAGUCCCGCAACGAGCGCAACCCUCGCCCUUAGUUGCCAGCAUUUAGUUGGGCACUCGUAAGGGGACUGCCGGUGAUAAGCCGAGAGGAAGGUGGGGAUGACGUCAAGUCCUCAUGGCCCUUACGGGCUGGGCUACACACGUGCUACAAUGGUGGUGACAGUGGGCAGCGAGCACGCGAGUGUGAGCUAAUCUCCAAAAGCCAUCUCAGUUCGGAUUGCACUCUGCAACUCGAGUGCAUGAAGUUGGAAUCGCUAGUAAUCGCGGAUCAGCAUGCCGCGGUGAAUACGUUCCCGGGCCUU